Long non-coding RNA from Passer domesticus (house sparrow), 1378 nucleotides. RefSeq lists it as uncharacterized. Lineage: Eukaryota; Metazoa; Chordata; Aves; Passeriformes; Passeridae. The transcript has 2 exons. The record is from RefSeq and is a predicted model, not a curated record.
ACCCCUCCAGCUGGGGAGCUGCAGCUCAGUGGGGUCUCCUGCCUGAGCCCUGGUCUUGGUGCUGGGCUUUGUAGCUGACUCUCACCCUGAUCUCUCCUUGCUGACUUGGCUCCAGACGUGCCUUUUAUCUUGGGGGGUCUUCAGUCCCCACAGGCAAACAGGUGAUUGAGCUGUCUCCCACCAGCUCUCCUGCUUUUCAGUUGCUGGUGGCUCGGACUGUUCCCUGAGCAUGGGACUUCACCUCUGAGGCUGAGAAGGGCCCUGGGCUCCACCUCCUGAACUUGUGUUCCAGCAGGAGAGCUGCUGAGUGCACCACGAUUGCCACUGUCCAUUCAAAACCAGUGACUUUGCUGAAGGUGUGAGGCUUUCCAAAAGGCGUGGCUUUAAUUGGCCAAUUCUCAUCACCAAAAUACUGCUGCUGUAACAUCCUGACCUCUUCUGGUGCACAACCCACAGACACAUUCACAUCAGCUCUGAAUAAAAGCAAUAACGUGGCUAACAGCACUGGAUAAGCCCCAGAAGCACUCCUGCACUCCAGCCAGGCAUCUGCAGAACGUGGAGCCCACCAGGUGGCCAUCUGCCUCUGCUGUGACACACCUCAUCUGGGUUUGUGCUGGCUGAGCUCCUGAGUUUCAACACCUCUUGCUUCUGGCUAGAGGCUCCAGUAACACCUUCAUCAUCCAUUUCCACAGCCACUUUAAAUGGAACAGAUUUACUUUUUGUUUUCCACAAAACAAAGUUGGUUUCUUUGUUUGUUUUUUUUUUCAACAAUGCCCACUUUGAUUAACUGAAGACUUUUCCCAACAUGCAAACUGUUCUGUGUGACACCAUCCACUGUCCAUGCAGAACUGCUUACAAAUCCCAUUUCUAUUGUCUUGCUUACCAAUAAGAACUACAAAUAAGUAUUUUAACUAUGAUUUCUAGGAACUUUUUAGUGUUAGUUUUGUAAUAGAAACUUGCAGCCAUACCCAGGUUGAUAAAGCCAAGCCUCAAGCGAGUUUAGAGAAAAUGGAGUCACAAGGCAUCAUGCAAAAGAUGAGUACAGGCUCAUCACCCUGCCCCAGAAACCUCGGAGGGGGUGUGCAGAAGGAUGGCUCUCACUCAGAAGCCUGCUCAAAGGUCCAUGCCAAGCUCAUUUGUGUCACUAAAUGCUCUGUAUUUGAGUGCCAGACCAUCCAUGCUCUGGUAUGGUACAUGCUGUGGUCUUUCUUUCUUCCAGGCUUUUACUCCUCAGGUGUAACUGUGUGCUCAGGUAAGAAUAACCACAGAGAAGUCUGCUUACAGUUCUUGUUUUUCCCACUGACACAACCCUGGCUAAGAAAGGAUGAUUUAGAGACUUCAGCUCAGAGUCCCUUUAGCCACACAAUAUUCAGCAUAA